Molecule: small RNA, 99 nt
Filed under: Flavobacterium noncentrifugens
Lineage: Bacteria; Pseudomonadati; Bacteroidota; Flavobacteriia; Flavobacteriales; Flavobacteriaceae
Description: Flavo-1 RNA
Rfam family: Flavo-1 RNA
Source: Rfam by way of RNAcentral
UUCGCGUUAGCGAUUGCAGUGGAAAUCCUUUUUGGGAUUGCCGCGGAGCUUGCGGAGCGGAAAUCUCCAAAAAGAUUGUAACGGAAAGCGCGGCCCGCA